This is a long non-coding RNA of Micropterus dolomieu (smallmouth bass), 1917 nucleotides long. RefSeq lists it as uncharacterized. The transcript is spliced from 3 exons. The record is from RefSeq and is a predicted model, not a curated record. NCBI's taxonomy places the organism in Eukaryota, Metazoa, Chordata, Actinopteri, Centrarchiformes, Centrarchidae.
AUGCCCCUCUCACCUGCAUGUGUAACUGAGGUUGCGUCUGACGCUCCUCUUGAAGAAGCUCUUGCAGCCCUCGCAGGUGAAGACGCCGUAAUGCUUCCCGCUGGACUUGUCCCCGCACACCACGCAGUCCACCACGCAGGCCUUGUCAUCGUCCCCGGCCUCCAUGUCGCUGCCCCCCGCCUGUGGAGAACCGUCCUCCUCCUCCCCCCUCAGGUAGCUCUUGUCUCCCAACCCGUUUGUGCCCCCAUUGGGAUCUCCCCAGCCCCCACUCACCAUGGCCAUCGCUUGGUUAGCGAACCACCGCAGAAGAAAAUGGGACAGGCAGCCAAGAUCUCUGGUUGCUGUCAAGACCAAUUCCUGAGAUGGUGAAAGAGAAGCCUGCUCGGCCGAACGGUGUCACACUUCAGCCGAGGAAGCUUUCACAGGGAACAAUGAGUCGAGCGUACGGUUCUCCUAGAAGAGAGCAGAGGCAGACUGAUUUGUGAGCAAAAUACAUGAAAGAUCUUCCUUCCAUCCAGCGAGGCUGCGGACACAACUCCCCUAUUCUGCUGUAAUCCUCUCAGCGGCAGCAACAGCAGCAUUGUGACCCCCUAGAUCAAGCAAAACAAGUUGAUGUCCCCACAGCAACAACAACAUCACUUUCAUGUGGUCGUGGGCUUCUUCGGGCGCCGCCAGCUGCCGCAGCUGCAGCGGCAGACGAGGCGACGUGGACUGCCUGCGCUUGCCUCCAAAAUGUAGAUAGUCGACACAAGGAAGUGAUCGCUCUUCCCCUGCGUGGUGUAGCACGAGUGCUCUGUUGUGACAAUAUCCUCGGUGGUGCUUCCUUCCAAAAAAAAACAACAAAAACAUCAAGAAAAGCAGGAGCGCGUCCUUCUUGCUCAGCCCUGCAUAGUUCCUGUGGCUGAACUCAUACGGGCUUCUCUGUCCAGCCUUUUGUCAGUGCUUGCCCACGAAGAACUAAUGACUUGCGGCCUAGCCCUGUGUGCUGCUCUCUGUCUCUGUGUGUGUGUGUGUGUGUGUGUGUGAGAGAGAGAAGCCUUUCCCUAUGGCUCAGGCGAACAGGGGUCUGGAAAGAACGAAUGCUCCUCUUCUCUCUCCCUCUCUCAGGCUCUCAGAGUGCACAAAUCAAAUUAUGAUUCAAGAAGAUGACCACAGCCCGAGACUGGCUGGAUUUCUCAGCAUUUGCUCUUUUUUUCCUCGGCCGUCUUUCCUCUUGCCUGUCUGUUUUCCUCUAACCUAUUUGUGUGUGUGCUUUGAGAGAGAGAGAUCAAGCAAAGCAAUGAAGAGAGAGAGAGGGAGGGAGGGAGCCAGAGUGUGUGCAGAGGGGGAGGGGGCUGUGUGUGUGUGUGUGUGUGUGUGUGUGUGUGUGUGUGUGUGUGUGCGCUCCCAGGGAUUUGACACUGCUAUUCAAGCUCUGUGGUUACCAUGGUGCUGGCCACCUUAUAUGGCCAUUGGAGUCAAAGAGCAAAUAGGAGUGGGCUGUGUGGGGCAGCAUGGACACACACACACACACACACACACACACACACACACACACACACACACACACACACACACACAGGAAGGAUGUGGAGGAUCUUUCUCCUCGGAGAAUCAGAGAGCAUGACCCCGAAGCCUCACAAACCACCCCAACAAAGCCAGAUUACCCUGAAGCCCUGUAACAAAUGCAAGCAAGCCGAUCUCCUGCCUACCCUUUUGUCUUCCAGAAAGCAAUCAAAUAUUGCCUCUGAAAGUUUCUACACGAUUUUAAAAAGGCAAGCGAAGCCGCGGCAAGGUAAACUUUACUUCUCAAAGGGACGAUAUAUCUCUCCCACUUGAAUAACACACUUUGAUCUUGUGUAUGUGCGAGCAUCCCGCCUGAGAACAGCUUAUGGUGCUGGAAAUAAAGGUUACCAUUUUGUGGUCAUUGCUCACUUG